AUGGGGACCAGGAAAAGUCUCCGGUGCAACGUGGUGCCGGACUCAUCGUCCGAAGACACAGAGGCGCACUCCUCCAACGACAACGAGGAGGAGGAGGAGGAAAACCCUCUCCCCCAAAACGAGGGGGAGAAGAAAAGGAAGGCCGCCCCUUCCGGGGAGGCCGAAGGGUCCAAGAAGGGACGGACCCUCCCCCCAGACCACUCCACAACCGCCGCCUAUAGCAAGGAGGAGUGGCUACCUAGGGCCAAGCCCCUUGCGAAGUCUCCGCCCAAAGCUCAUAUAGACUUGCCCUCCUCGGAGUUGAAUAGCUAUUCGCUCCUGACGGCUUCCACCCCCCGGCCCACAGAUGACACCGAGGUGUUAUCUCAGAGGAUGCCAGGCUAG
This 384-nucleotide ribosomal RNA is filed under the name Triticum aestivum (bread wheat). RNAcentral's name for it is "partial small subunit ribosomal RNA". Lineage: Eukaryota; Viridiplantae; Streptophyta; Magnoliopsida; Poales; Poaceae. The record is from RNAcentral.